This is an RNA transcript of Cyanidioschyzon merolae strain 10D, 2203 nucleotides long. RefSeq lists it as hypothetical. The transcript has a single exon. The record is from RefSeq and is a predicted model, not a curated record. NCBI's taxonomy places the organism in Eukaryota, Rhodophyta, Bangiophyceae, Cyanidiales, Cyanidiaceae.
GUCUAGGGCGGGUCACUCGCCACUACUGUACACCGUUGGCGUCGUUCGACUUUCGAACGGCGUUUGGUGGCGGUAUUCCAGAAUCGAUGCAAGUCGUGCUCUGCAAUAGACGACCUGGUACGCUAUCGCGGUCGAGUGCUUCAUCGGAAUCCAGGCUCGCUGGGCUGCAAACCUGGUAUGUACAAAAGACUACAGAUGAUCCGUCAGGCUAGCGAGCGUGAACCAUCGAACUGCUUCCAUCUGGCAGGAUGCAUGCUGCGCCAGUUCGGCAAGCUUAUGCACCGGGAACUUGACACUCGCUGAAGGAGCAUAAGUCACUCACUUGGGUAUCUGGAUCUGGAGAGAGUGUCACUGGCGUUUCAUAGCGACCUGGUGACACUGACGCGCUUCGGCAUGUGCUUCGAAUCUGAACUGGCGGGCGCCGACCAGUGCGGCACUCGUUGCAGACCUAGGCGGACCCCUGCCUGCACUGUCCGCACUUGAGUACCGUAACCCGGGUUCCGAUAACAGCGGCUCUGGGCAGAGAAGCCCACGACAAGCUCGCGUUGACAGCUACCAGCGGGAACGCGCCAGCGAGGCGUGUCGCGCUUGCGGGCCCUGCGGCCGUCCCGGAACUGCAGCGCCGACACGCAGUAUUCGCGUCCACGACAAGCGGAUACGCGCUUUGGAGAAUGCCGCAGCGGACGAUAGCAGGCAUCUUGAGGGUAUUCACUUUACGUGUCUAAAAUGCGCCGUUUUCGUGAGCGCGCACGUGACUGCGAUCCCCGGCUCCACCUCUGUACCGCGAGCCGCCCCCCGAGGCACCGUAGCCUGCUGCUGAGCCCCGACGUCGAGUCGAGCGAGCGCCAUUGCGCGCAUAACCACGUCCAAAGCUAUGCUCGUACGUCCGCUUUCGAUUCCGACGAUUGACGAAUUGGUUCAGCUCCGCUGGCACCUCAUUCUGGGACUCCUCGAGUAUCUGCACCAGUUCAGAUGCGAGGCGCGCAUUUGCCGGUGUGAAGAAGGAGUAGGCGGUUCCGGUUGAGCCGGCGCGCCCUGUCCGUCCAAUACGGUGCACAUAAUCCUCUAUGGUUCCCGGAAAAUCAUAGUUCACAACAUAGGAAAUGUUCUUGAUGUCGAGGCCGCGAGCCGCAACAUCGGUCGCAACCAGCAAGCGCGCCUGCCCCGAACGGAAAGAUCCAAUCGCCCGAUCGCGCUCCAUCUGCGUCUUGUCGCCGUGCAGGGCAAGCGCUGCAAGUCCCCAGUGCUGCAACCGACGGCUUAGCUGAUCCGCUUUGCGCUUUGUAUCUGUGAAGACGAGGACCUUGGCGUUCGAAUCGGUGUCGGCGGAAGCGUUCAGCAACGUCUUCAACAAAGACUGGAGCCGUUCGGGUUUCUCGUCCUCAUCGAGCACCUGCACCACCUGCCGAAUGCUCUUGUUGGCACUGAGGUCGAGCCCACCGAUGUUGAUUUGAAUCCAGUCGCCCGCGGUCAAAAACUCACGGGCGAUGACUUGGACCUGGCGGGGCCACGUGGCCGUAAACAUCAGUGUUUGGCGGUCAGGACGAAUCUGGCCAACGAUCUUGCGUAACUGGGGUUCAAAGCCCAUGUCCAGCAUGCGAUCCGCUUCAUCGAGCACCAGGUAGGUCACGCGCCUGAGGUUGGUGCGGCCGCUCUCCAGAAAAUCGAUGAGGCGCCCCGGCGUGGCAAUGAGGAUCUCAAUACCCCGCGACAGCUCACGUGCCUGCGGACCGCGACUCACCCCGCCAUAGACGCAGGCGUUGCGGAUGCGAGACGCCGUGCCGAACUUGGUCGCUUCUGUUUGGAUCUGGACAGCGAGUUCACGCGUCGGCGCGAGCACCAGGCAGAUGGGUCCAUCGCCACGGCGCAGUGGCGGCUGGCCGUGAAUAUGUACAAGCGCCGGAAGCAGGUACGCGCAGGUCUUGCCGCUGCCAGUUUCCGCUAUGCCUAUGAGAUCGCGUCCUUUCAAGGCGACUGGCCAUGCCUGGGCCUGGAUAGCAGUCGGUGCUGUGAACCCGGCCCGCUGGAUACAUUGGACGAUCGCAGGCGGGAAGCCUGCCUCGAGAAAGGACUCACAAGGAUUCGGUACAUUUUUACCCCGAACAGUGAUCUCCAUUCGUUGCCGAAACGAUGCGACGUGCUCCGGUGAACGGCCUGCCACCUCGGGGUGCUCCUGAUAAAAAUUCCGCUCAAAAGGUACAAG